RNAcentral lists this ribosomal RNA (497 nucleotides) under uncultured bacterium. RNAcentral describes it as "partial 16S ribosomal RNA". It matches the Rfam family "Bacterial small subunit ribosomal RNA", at positions 28 to 507 of the family's 1533-position model. The record is from RNAcentral.
GAUGAACGCUGGCGGCGUGCCUAAUACAUGCAAGUCGAGCGAACGGACGAGAAGCUUGCUUCUCUGAUGUUAGCCGCGGACGGGUGAGUAACACGUGGAUACCCUACCUAUCAUACUGGGAUAACUACGGGAAACCGGAGCUAAUACCGGAUAAUCUUUUGAACCGCGUUGUUCAAAAGUGAAAUACGGUCUUGCUGGCACUUAUAGAUGGAUACGGGCUGCAUUAGCUAGUUGUUGAGGUAACGGCUUACCAAGGCAACGAUGCAUAGCCGACGUGAGAGGGUGAUAGGCGACACUGGAACGGAGACGCGGUCCAGACUCCUACGGGAGGCAGCAGUAGGGAAUCGGACGCAAUGGGCGAAAGCCUGGCGGAGCAACGCCGCGUGAGUGAUGAAGGCGUUCGGAUCGUAAAACUCUGUUAUUAGGGAAGAACAGAUGUGUAAGUAACUGUGCACAUCGUGACGGUACCGAAUCAGAAAGCCACGGCUAACUACGUG